ACCCGCGAGGCUUUGCGGUGGCUGCUUGGCGUGGCAGUGAUCGCUUGGCUUGGCAUUUCUGGCUUAGCGGUCCUCCUUUCGCAGAUUGGAAACCGCGGGCUAUCCUGCUGGGAGGUUGUGGCCGAGGCAGUAGCUCGCUACUGAUGGCCUCCUGGGGUGGAGAAAAGCGGGGAGGGGCUGGGGGGUCUCCGAAGCCGGCAGUCUACGCCACGAGGAAGACCCCUAGUGUUGGGAGCCAGGAGGACCAGUGGUACUUGGACUACCCGGGGGACCAGUGGUCCUUGGGCUUCUCCUACAGCUGGUGGAAGAACAGCGUCGGCAGCGAGAGCAAGCACGGUGAGGGCGCCUUAGACCAGCUCCAGCACGAUGUCCGCCUGGAAGAUCUUGGCGAGCUCCACAGAGCUGCCCGGUCGGGCGACGUCCCUGGGGUGGAGCACGUCUUGGCUCCUGGAGACACUGGCGUGGACAAGAGGGAUAGGAAGAAGAGCAUUCAGCAACUAGUUCCUGAAUAUAAGGAAAAACAGACACCUGAAAGUCUUCCUCAAAAUAACAAUCCAGCUGCUCCAAGCCAGGCUGAAGGAGGAGAAGGAGGAGUCGCCUGUGGUACGGUGGAGCAGAUGACGUGGCUCUGCAGCUUGCCUCAUGCAGUUGGUGGUGGAGAUGGAGACCACAGCUCGACUGGAGCGGUAGGAGGGCACCCACGGGGGCCUGGAGAGUAUUGUCAUCUGCAUGAGCAAAGGGUUCAUCACCACAUCUUUGCAAGAGGAAAAAGAAAGGGGAAGAAUCAUGUGUCUAAUGUUGUAAGGUAAACAUUCACAACCAAAAACAAGGUUUUAUUAACUUUUGCCUUUAAGAACCUGCAGUGUUUAGCCCUCUUUGAUUCCUAGUAUUAUUACCUUUGGUAUGAACUCUUUUAUUAAACUGAUCACUCUAGAGGUUUAUGCAUUUUGUAUCAUUUUUCAAGCCAACAGAAAUGUGUAAUGCCUAUAAUUCUGACACUUUAGUUAUUUUUAAGGCUAUGAGCAUGUAAGAUACUGUUGGAAGAAUAUGUAUAAAUACCACUAGGUAGCUUAUUUUGAAGAGAUAGUAUCUAAAUUUUUGUCCAGAGUAGAUUGGUUGCAGUUUCUUAGGUGUGUUUCUUAAUACGUUGCCUCAAUGUUUUAAAGCAUGUAGAAAUUUGAAUACAGUUUAACUUCAUAUAGUCCUUUGUUUAUAGAUUUAAUAUUUCUAAAGACUAAAGACAUCACAGCUCCCUUUAAGAUUCAGUAAUAUUAAUAAAAUUUUAGAAAUAUAGGGUUAGAAUCCAACAAAUUCAGAGGAAAAUUGUUAAAUUCUAUAGCUGUAGAGCAGAAAUGAAACCCAGGUUCUAAGCUCUAAGGGGGCCAUGAGGUACCAUACAGGUGCAUCAGUGACUGGGCAUAGAUUCAGCAAAAUUACAGGAUGGUUAAGAGAGUGAGCUGUGGAGCCAAACUCUAUGUAACAUGAAUUUUUAAACUGCCUGGUGCCUCAGUUUAUCCAUCUUUACAGUGGGGACUGUAGUAAGUUUUUCUUUUUCUGCUCAGUUGUCUGUCUUGUUGCCACUGUUCCCUAGUCUGUCUUGUUGCCACUCAGUGCCCACAUGAGAGGAUCUACGGUAAUUUCUGACAGCCUGGGACUCCUUAAAGAAAAACAGAAGGUGCUACAAAACCCAUUUUAGGAGAAACCUCUGUUGUCCUCAUGGAACCCCAAGAACUUCAGGCAGACAGGUCUCUCUCAAAAUCUAAGGCUCUCCUCUGUUUUGUUUUGCGUUAUCUGACCUUUUAGGUUUGGUUGGGCAUCAGAAAUCAGUCGGGGAGAGAGAUCUAAAGAAAGUUGUGGAUAUGAAGAUGUAUUUAUGGUAAAAAAGUUAUGAAGGAAAGAAAUGUUAUAUGAGAGAGGAUCUUGUAUGGCAAAUUCUUGUCCUAAAGUAGAAUGACUAAUUAUGAAAGAGGGAAAUACAGGAAAAGUCAGAAAGUUCAUGUCAUAGAUGGUCUGUGGAAGUUGUGCUAGGGUUCAUAAAAUGAGAAAGAAAAACUUACAACUGCUAGAUCUUCUCCUGUCUAGAAGUGUUGUGUAUGUGUUGGAUAUGUAAAGGAGCCCUAAUUACUUGGCUUAGAAGAAAAGGACGGCUCUUAAAUAUUUUGUCAGAAAAAUAGAAUCUCCAAUGCCUUUUAUUUCACAUGACUUCAGUAAUCUUUGGGAAAUAAAGACAGUGUUAAAAUCAUUGGUAAAAAAAAUCAUCAAAAUUUAUCCAUUUUGUCUAAUUUAAGUCAGAGGUUAAAUUUUAGAAGUGCUUUAACGUCAUAAAUUGAUUGACUUUGGAAAAUUGUUCUGUUUACCUGGUUUGGAGCUGCUCAACUUCUAGGUAAGGCCUGGGGGACAGGUGGAGUUAGCCAUGUCUCCUAGCUAUGCUGGAAAGAGUCAGACUUUACCUGCAGUUCUGUCUUGUAUCCUAUACACUGCACCUGGUACGUUAUUAAAACUUCCUGCUGCUUCUAAUCUCUGAGUUCCACUUUAAAUUUUUCCAUCACUUGAAUACUAUCCUCUGUACUAAAUUUUUCCGCAAUUAAAUACUUAGAAUCAUUUUUGCCCACUUGACCCAAGCAUUAGUGAUAUAUCUUUAAAAUACUUAUAAUGUGUCACAAUAUAUUUAGCAAAUGUAGCGAAUGGCAUUUUUACUUUUGUCAGCAUUUACAUAGCAUUUAGCAAUGCUAUCUCAAGUAUUUUUAGUCAUUUGAAUGUUACAUAAUAUGCUUUUCCUUUGUUUCUAUGUAAAUAAAUAGGAGAUAUUCAAUAAAUAGUAUCAAUUAA
Molecule: RNA transcript, 2829 nt
Organism: Homo sapiens (human)
Lineage: Eukaryota; Metazoa; Chordata; Mammalia; Primates; Hominidae
Gene: CCDC144NL
Gene name: CCDC144A N-terminal like (pseudogene)
Exons: 4
Source: RefSeq, marked validated